Molecule: long non-coding RNA, 582 nt
Organism: Myotis brandtii (Brandt's bat)
Lineage: Eukaryota; Metazoa; Chordata; Mammalia; Chiroptera; Vespertilionidae
Exons: 3
Source: RefSeq, a predicted model, not a curated record
ACAAAGGGGAGUGGGGUGCUGACCUGAGUAAAUAUGGAAAUGAGUGGAGUCUGUAAAACUGAAGGCAUAAGGAACUGCACAUAAGCAUUGUGCUCUAAUUGAUGAUAGAGUUCAUGAUUCUGAUGCUGCUAUACAAGCAUAAUGGAACCAAAUAGUAUUAAGGAAAUGGAGAGAAGAAGAGUAACUUCAUGGUGAAGAAACUUGGCAAACACUGUCUCAGGCAGGUGAAUCAUGACGAAAACAUCAGGCAAAUUCCAAUAGAGGGAUAACCCACAAAAUACCUGGCCAGUACUCCUCAAAAUUGUCAAGGUGUCAAAAACAAGGGAAGUCUGAGAAACUGGCAGGGCCAAGAGGAGCCUAAGGAGACAUGAGGACUAAAUGUAAUGUGGUGUCCUGAAUGGGCCCUGGAACACAAAAAGAAAUUCGGUAAAAACUAAGGAAAUCUGAAUAAGCUGUGAACUUUCAUUAAUAUUAAUGUAUCAGUAUUGAUUCAUUAAAUGUAAUAAUACUAAGGUAAAAUACUAAUAAUAGGUGAAAUUGAAUGUGGUGGUAUAUGGGAACUCUCUGUACCAUCUUAAUGUA